UGAGGAAUAUUGGUCAAUGGGCGAGAGCCUGAACCAGCCAAGUAGCGUGCAGGAUGACGGCCCUAUGGGUUGUAAACUGCUUUUAUAUGGGGAUAAAGUGGGGAACGUGUUCCCUUUUGCAGGUACCAUAUGAAUAAGGACCGGCUAAUUCCGUGCCAGCAGCCGCGGUAAUACGGAAGGUUCGGGCGUUAUCCGGAUUUAUUGGGUUUAAAGGGAGCGUAGGCCGUUUGGUAAGCGUGUUGUGAAAUGUAAGAGCUCAACUUUUAGAUUGCAGCGCGAACUGGCAGACUUGAGUGCGCACAACGUAGGCGGAAUUCAUGGUGUAGCGGUGAAAUGCUUAGAUAUCAUGACGAACUCCGAUUGCGAAGGCAGCUUACGGGAGCGCAACUGACGCUAAAGCUCGAAGGUGCGGGUAUCGAACAGG
RNAcentral lists this ribosomal RNA (424 nucleotides) under Verrucomicrobiota bacterium. RNAcentral's name for it is "Verrucomicrobia bacterium partial 16S ribosomal RNA". It matches the Rfam family "Bacterial small subunit ribosomal RNA", at positions 355 to 776 of the family's 1533-position model. The record is from RNAcentral. Lineage: Bacteria; Pseudomonadati; Verrucomicrobiota.